CCAACCCGCCCAGCCUCCACGCUUCCCCGAGGAGCCCGGCACUCGCCCAACGGCCCCCACGGAGCACCGCAGCUUCUCGAGCCAAUUCUGAACAUGAUGCCUUGGUUGAUGCAUCUUCCUGAGCAUCAUCAAAAAGUCCUCUGAGCCCACGAUGCUACCCUUGACUUCCUCAGGGAGACUGUGAAGGAACACAAGGCAACCUGGGAUCCAGCUUUCACACAGGACUUGAUCAAUUCUUUCCUGGUGGAGACAGAAAAGGAGAGAGACACACAGAUGCUUUGGGACUGAGUGGUAUUGCAAGGUUCUGUAUUAGUAACAGAAGGAUCCCUGCUAGUUAUACUGAGGCCUUGAUUAUGUUUGUUGCAACUUCCAGGGGCACUUCUUCCAGUCCCACUUCUGCAGGUUUGCUAGUCAGUAAAAGAAACCAAAUAGAAAUCAAACAGCCUUUAUUCAUUGUCAGUUGGUUAGUCCAACUGACAGAGGAGGAGUUUGCCAGGGUUCAUACAAAACCAAAGUUCUCUAGGAAAUGCAUCUUGACACUUAUAACCAUCCCAUAACAAGCUAGCAUAUGGAUGCAGACAGCUGGCCUCUCUCUUGCCUAUCAGCGUGUUAUCAUUUUAAUCACUUUCCACAUUUCUCAGCUGUGUGCCUGACGUCCAAAUCAUUCAGGAAGCUGUCCCUUGAUUGGGGUGAGAGUUUAUAUUCUCCACCCCAGCAAUUAUACACCGCAUGCUAAAACCAUUGUCUAAGAAUGCCUUGCCACCUUAACAACUCUACCAAUGCAAUUAUCAUGCACAGAGUCCUAGAUUUCUUGUCAUCAUAGCACAGCAUUGGAAUCGCUUAACUCCCUAAAGUCUGAGCUAAUGUAAGCUGCGUGACUAACUGCAAGUCUCAGACUGUGUUAGCAUACACCAGUUGUGUAUCUCUGUAGCUACCAUGCAUGGGGCCCUAAAUUAUAUUAUAACUCUACAAAGCCAUGUAAAAAACCAUGAUUUUUAACAUUUUCUAAUAAAACUUUAAAUACAUCAAUUCUUAA
Molecule: long non-coding RNA, 1036 nt
Organism: Alligator mississippiensis (American alligator)
Lineage: Eukaryota; Metazoa; Chordata; Crocodylia; Alligatoridae
Exons: 2
Source: RefSeq, a predicted model, not a curated record